CCCUUAGAUGUCCUGGGCUGCACGCGCGCUACACUGAAGUUACGGAUUGAGAUACUACCUUGUCCGAAAUGGUCCGGGUAAUCACCUAAAAGCUUGUCAUAAUUGGAAUGGAUUAUUGUAACUAGUAAUCCUGAACGAGGAAUUCCUAGUAAGUCCCAGUCAACAGCUGGUACUGAUUACGUCCCUGCCCUUUGUACACACCGCCCGUCGCUACUACUGAUUGGACGUUUAAGCAAGAUUUUUAAACACUGACAGUGUGUAGUUCACGCUAUACUACAGUGAGAAGAAGAAGAUCGAGCUUACUUGUCUAGAGGAAGUAAAAGUCGUAACA
This 331-nucleotide ribosomal RNA is filed under the name uncultured eukaryote. Its description in RNAcentral is "partial 18S ribosomal RNA". It matches the Rfam family "Eukaryotic small subunit ribosomal RNA", at positions 1470 to 1796 of the family's 1831-position model. The record is from RNAcentral.